AUGGGCUCCAACAUGUUCCAAUUGUUUCUUCUGGGCAUAUCCAUAAUGCUCUUCAUGGGAGCCAGAGUCCUGACAUUUGAAUGGGUUCGGUUUUGCAAUCAUUGUGAUCAUUUUAAUGGAGUCAGUUGUCUUGGGGGCAUGAAAUCCUGCUGGAAGUUUAAUUUGUAUUUGACAAACAAGAGUUGUGCCACAAAUCACUAUUAUUAUAAUGAUCGUUACACAGGUCUGUACCUAUUUCGUUAUACAACACUGACUUGCAAGCCUUGUGAAGCAGGAAUGUUCCAGGUGUUCCAUGACCUGUUGAGAGAAACC
Molecule: long non-coding RNA, 312 nt
Organism: Ochotona princeps (American pika)
Lineage: Eukaryota; Metazoa; Chordata; Mammalia; Lagomorpha; Ochotonidae
Exons: 4
Source: RefSeq, a predicted model, not a curated record